GCUGGAAUGGUCUAGUUGGUUAUGACGACUGCCUAACACGCAGUAGGUCCCGAGUUCGAUUCUUGGUUCCAGUA
RNAcentral lists this transfer RNA (74 nucleotides) under Perkinsus olseni. RNAcentral describes it as "tRNA-Val". It matches the Rfam family "tRNA". Rfam says of the family: Transfer RNA (tRNA) molecules are approximately 80 nucleotides in length. Their secondary structure includes four short double-helical elements and three loops (D, anti-codon, and T loops). Further hydrogen bonds mediate the characteristic L-shaped molecular structure. tRNAs have two regions of fundamental functional importance: the anti-codon, which is responsible for specific mRNA codon recognition, and the 3' end, to which the tRNAs corresponding amino acid is attached (by aminoacyl-tRNA synthetases). tRNAs cope with the degeneracy of the genetic code in two manners: having more than one tRNA (with a specific anti-codon) for a particular amino acid; and 'wobble' base-pairing, i.e. permitting non-standard base-pairing at the 3rd anti-codon position. The record is from RNAcentral. Lineage: Eukaryota; Perkinsozoa; Perkinsida; Perkinsidae.